CCAUCUCUGUUUUUGAAGCUUUCUCUUCUUCCCUCCCUCCUUUGAUUCAAUUCUCAGAACAAAGACAUGGUUCACUACCACAGGUACCAUCAACCCAGAAAAGCUUCAGACCCCAUUAUCACAAAAGAUGAAGAAUCACAACAGAACCUUCUCAUGGAUUGUUCAACCUCUUCUUACUACAAGAGAACAAGGCCCAAGUUGCUCUCUUUCCUCUUCCUCAUCACUUUCCUCUCUUGCUGCUAUGUCCUUGCACCACUCUUCCUUCCCCCUUCUUUCACCUUCUCUCUCCUCUGUAAGCAACUCCUCUUUUCACUCUCAUACACUUGUGCUUUCUUAUUACAACGUGGGACUUCGUUUUUGACAUCUUUUAUGUUGUUCUUUUGGUUUGCUUUGGUUUUCAGACUCUCCUGCAACUGAAAAUGAUGCUCUUGUUGUAAAUGAUUCUGUGUGCUCUUCAGUUUCAAGCGGUAAUUCUUCUUAUUACCCCCUUUUCUUCUUUUUCAAUUUUCAGUUUCCAUGUUUUUUUUCUUUCUUUUUAGAAACAUAUUGCAUGACUAUAAAUGAAAAGGGGUUUGAUAUCAUAGCUUUAUGCAUUUUAUAACCUGGGAAAGUAAUGAUUUUUAUGUGUUUUAACCGCACAAAUUUUUGUGAUUGUUAUCAAACAUGAUGAUGAACAGUUAAAGUUUAAUUUGGUGUUUUCAUUUAUGCAGGAACUAUAUGCUGUGAUAGAACUGGUUAUAGGUCUGAUAUAUGUUUGAUGAAAGGGGACAUUAGAACACACUCUCCUUCCUCUUCAAUCUUCCUCUACAACUCAGGAAUCAUCAACAAUGUUUCAAGGAAUGUUGGAGCUGAAGAAGGCAAAGGGGAUUGGAUACUUCAGCACGAAAGGAUUAGGCCUUAUACUCGAAAAUGGGAGAAGAGUGUAAUGGAGACCAUUGACGAGCUAAACCUCAUCUCAAAGAGAGUGAAUUUUGGUAAUUCAGGCCAUGGUUGUGAUGUCAAACAUGAUGUCCCGGCCGUGUUCUAGAGUGAAUUUUGGUAAUUCAGGCCAUGGUUGUGAUGUCAAACAUGAUGUCCCGGCCGUGUUCUUCUCAAAUGGGGGCUAUACCGGCAAUGUGUACCACGAAUUCAACGAUGGAAUCAUUCCUUUGUACAUUACCUCCCAGCAUUUCAACAAGAAGGUUGUGUUUGUGAUCCUUGAAUAUCACAAUUGGUGGAUCACCAAGUACGGAGACAUUCUUUCUCACCUUUCGGAUUAUCCGGCCAUCGAUUUUAGAGGAGACAACAGGACUCAUUGCUUCCCUGAAGCCAUUGUUGGCCUUAGAAUCCAUGAUGAGCUCACGGUGGAUUCGGCUUUGAUGCAAAGGAACAAGAGCAUUGUUGACUUUAGAAACCUUCUCGAUAAGGCCUAUUGGCCGCGGAUUCAUGGAUUGAUUCAAGAUGAAGAAAGGGAAGCACAAGAAAAGUUAAGAAAACAAAUGUCUUCAUCCCCAUCAUCAGAAUCGGAACCAGAAUCAGAAUCUCCACAGAAACAAGAGUACAUAAUUAAGCAAAAAGUACAAGAGAAUCCUUUGAAGAAACCCAAGUUGGUUAUUCUCUCUAGAGACAAAUCAAGAGAAGUAACAAAUGAAAAUUCUAUGGUUAAAAUGGCUGAGGAAAUCGGCUUUGAAGUCGAAGUCUUGAAGCCAGACAGAACAACAGAAUUGGCCAAGAUUUAUAGGUCACUGAAUGCAAGUGAUGUGAUGAUCGGCGUCCACGGCGCAGCAAUGACACAUUUCUUGUUCUUGAGGCCUGGCUCAGUGUUCAUUCAAGUUGUUCCUUUGGCACAACUUUGCAGAAACAUAUUAUGGUGAACCUGCAAGAAAACUUGGUUUGAAGUACAUUGGCUAUGAAAUUCAGAUUAGAGAGAGUUCUUUGUAUGAGAAAUAUGAUAAGAAUGAUCCUGUUCUAAGGGACCCCCAAAGCAUCACAAAGAAAGGUUGGGAAUUCACAAAGAAGAUUUAUCUUGAUAGCCAAAAUGUUGUGUUUGGUCUCAGAGGAUUUAGAAAAAGGUUGCAGCAUGCUCAAUAAUAAUUUUUUUUCAAUUUGUUCUUUUGUUUCAUUUUACUUCUCUAUGUUCAUUCUUUGAAAUGUAGAAAGAAAGAAAGAUUACAUUUUUUUUAGUAUUGAGCAUAUUAUACAGCAAAAUACUUAAAAAUGAAUUAUAGAAUGUGUAAGUAUAAGAGCAACAACUUUCCAUUUUGGUAUUAAUAAAUUAAGGAUUUAAUUUGUAAAUUUAAUUCUGAUACAUAAUACAUGUAUCUAAUUAAGUAACACCACAUAGUAAAAAUAACUACCUUUUACACUAAUCGAGUGAAUAGUUAUCUAAAAAAACAUAUGAUUGUACGAAACAUGUACUCUUAAUUUAAAUUUAUUGAUGAGUUUUAGUAUCUUACACAAAUAUUUGACUUAACUGUUCAAUAUUUUUUAAGUUGGUACAAUAAAAUUCAGUUUUUAUUCAGCCUUUAAAUUUAAUAUUUUAUUAUUUUAAUUUUUUAAUUAAUCAUAUUUUCUAUUUUUAAGAAAUCACUUUUAUUUUUAAUAUUUAUCACUAUAAAAUUUGUAACCAUUUGCAAUACAUUAAUUUUUUGCAAACAAACCAUAAAAGUAAUAAAACUUGUAACAACUUUUUGUGUACUAAUUUUUAAAAAAUCAUUAAAGUUUUCAAAAUUAAUUAAACUCACUUCAAUUAUUUUUUUAUUCAAAACAUUUAAAACUCAUGUCAAAAAGACAAAAACACAUCUAAAAUUAAAUAAACAUAAUCACAUUUAAAAUUAUGUAUUAACAUAUCUAAAUUAUUGUCAUUAUAGUUCUAAAUUAUAUAUUGAACACAGAAAAAAAUUAAAUUCAAAUACACAUUCAAAAUUAUAAGAAUGCAUUCUAAAUAUUUUAUCAACACAUCCAAAACUCAUGUAAAAAAAUUUAUAUAUGUACAUAAGAACAUAAUUAACAAUAUAAACACAUCCAAAAUUAAGUAUUGACACAUUUAAAUUAGGUUAAUAUUACAACUCCCAAAUCAAACAUAUGAGUGCAAAAAAACUCCCUACUUUGUCUGGAGUGCACUAGCUUUCGCCUUCCCGAAGCAAAUGAAACAUCAGAGUCAUUUUCUUUGCCACCUUCGAAGGAGCCUUCAUUCCACGCUUUCUCCUAUUCUUUCCUUUGAUUUCUCUUCCUUCUUCUUCUUCUUCUUCUUCUUAUUCAUUUCCAUCAACAAAAAGAAACUCUCACAACAAAAAGCAGAGCCAUCUCUGUUUUUGAAGCUUUCUCUUCUUCCCUCCCUCCUUUGAUUCAAUUCUCAGAACAAAGACAUGGUUCACUACCACAGGUACCAUCAACCCAGAAAAGCUUCAGACCCCAUUAUCACAAAAGAUGAAGAAUCACAACAGAACCUUCUCAUGGAUUGUUCAACCUCUUCUUACUACAAGAGAACAAGGCCCAAGUUGCUCUCUUUCCUCUUCCUCAUCACUUUCCUCUCUUGCUGCUAUGUCCUUGCACCACUCUUCCUUCCCCCUUCUUUCACCUUCUCUCUCCUC
This 3572-nucleotide long non-coding RNA is filed under the name Arachis ipaensis. RNAcentral describes it as "long non-coding RNA (AIPA_LNC001386)". Lineage: Eukaryota; Viridiplantae; Streptophyta; Magnoliopsida; Fabales; Fabaceae. The record is from RNAcentral.